Molecule: long non-coding RNA, 860 nt
Organism: Cebus imitator (Panamanian white-faced capuchin)
Lineage: Eukaryota; Metazoa; Chordata; Mammalia; Primates; Cebidae
Exons: 3
Source: RefSeq, a predicted model, not a curated record
GCCCAAGACCUCCGUGUUCUCCCAGCUUUGUAAAGCCCCGCUGCAGCUUCGGUUAAAGCCCCUGGAAGGGGCCGGGCUAAAACCAGAAGAGAAAAGCAGAGGGACGGAUGUGUUCUCAGACUCUGCGAGUUGCUCAAACCGGGUCUCUGCUCCUGUGAUCACCCGGCUGAUAGGGGAGUGUUAUUCAGAUAAUUCCCCCAAACGCUUUCCCUUGCAGAUCAGUGCCUGUACUCUACUGGAGCAAACUGAGGCCCAGAGAGGGGAAGAGACUUGCCGAAGGUCACACAGCAACUUUGUGCUGAAGCCCAGGCUACAUUGCCCGACUGUGCAGCCAUCAGCACUGGUGUAGGGCUUGGAAGAGAAGGAUGCUGGAGCAGGUCCCAGUGCAGCUCGGGCGGCAGAAAGUCCCAGCUCUGGGCUCUGGGAGGCUAUGGACAUAAUAAGUCUUCGCUGGGGGAAGACUCCCUCCCCCUCCAAACAUACCCACUUCCGGUCCCUGAAGCCGAGGAGGGAGUCCCUGCCAGGGCUUUGGAAACCCUGAGUAAUGGACAGGGGAGCCUCUGCCCUGCUCCACCCAGCGAUGGCUGCUGUCUGCGGCAGGGAGCCACUGAGAAGAGAAACCACACACGUGGGAGGCACAGAUUUUUUAGAGGCAGAACUGGAGCCCAGACUCUGAAGCUGAAGGGAAAACUGGGGCUCCCAAAAAAGUAAAUAAUAAUAUGCUAUUUGUAAUAUAAUAUUGUACUAUAAAUAACAUAUUAUUUCUGUAUUGUAUUGAGCACACAGUAUGUACCAAACACUACAACGUACUAAAUUUGUGUCAUUUAACUCCCACAAGCCUAGGAAGCUGGGCAUAAAUA